UGUUAUGACAACAAGUUGUGGAUCGUUUCUCGAUGUUCGAGCCAACGGGUCUUGUAGAAUAAACGCUUUCAUAUGAGAAAGUUCCACAUUAAAACUUUGACAAUAAUUGUACUUUUUUUUUCUGCAAUAUUGAUGAAAUUUUUUUUCAUCGUAUCUGUUCGACUCUGCUCAUUAAAAUUGUGGAGUAAGUCAAUUAAUUAAUAGAAACGUUGAAAGUGAAUGAUUAGUUUUAAGGACUCUGCCUGAAUUUUUCUUCGUUCCUGAGACUGGAGACGACAAAAAAAUGGAACAAUAUUAAUCUUGGAAAAUCGACGCGGAAGUAUUGCAGAGAAAAGAAUUUCAAACGUUCUUAUCUCUACUAAAGCAAAAUUACUCUUUGGGCUGCGAGGCAUUUGACACUGGAAAAAACGCAGGCUGCUUCGUGAAACGGCAGCAUGCAAUUUUUUUUAGGUCCUCCUUGGUCAAGGCCAGUCCUGCGGAACACACGUUUUCUAUGAGGCGAUGUUGCGUUGUGACGUAAAUGGUCAGUUUUUUAUUUUUCUUUUUGCUAAUGGACAAUAAAUAGAACGAGGGCGUAAAAAGAUUGUGCAUCAUAGAAGAUGGCUAUAAACUUUCGGUUUUUAUUGUAGUUUAACACGAAUGAAAAUCUGUGGAAAAAGUCCUGUAUAGUUCCAAAAAUAAAAAUUUUUUUGUCAACCUCGAA
Long non-coding RNA from Venturia canescens, 703 nucleotides. RefSeq lists it as uncharacterized. The transcript has 2 exons. NCBI's taxonomy places the organism in Eukaryota, Metazoa, Arthropoda, Insecta, Hymenoptera, Ichneumonidae. The record is from RefSeq and is a predicted model, not a curated record.